UGGGGGAUAUUGCACAAUGGGCGAAAGCCUGAUGCAGCGACGCCGCGUGGGGGAUGAAGGCCUUCGGGUUGUAAACUUCUUUUGCUCUGAACAAGGCGCACCAUGGGGAGUGUUGAGUGUAGGGGUUGAUUAGCGCCGGCUAACUACGUGCCAGCAGCCGCGGUAAUACGUAGGGCGCGAGCGUUGUCCGGAAUUAUUGGGCGUAAAGGGCUUGUAGGUGGCUGGUUGCGUCUGUCGUGAAAGCUCAUGGCUUAACUGUGGGUUUGCGGUGGGUACGGGCUGGCUUGAGUGCAGUAGGGGAGGCUGGAAUUCCUGGUGUAGCGGUGGAAUGCGCAGAUAUCAGGAGGAAUACCGGUGGCGAAGGCGGGUCUCUGGGCUGUUACUGACACUGAGGAGCGAAAGCAUGGGGAGCGAACAGG
RNAcentral lists this ribosomal RNA (419 nucleotides) under bacterium. RNAcentral's name for it is "partial 16S ribosomal RNA". It matches the Rfam family "Bacterial small subunit ribosomal RNA", at positions 355 to 776 of the family's 1533-position model. The record is from RNAcentral.